This 74-nucleotide transfer RNA is filed under the name Gemmatimonadaceae bacterium. RNAcentral's name for it is "tRNA-Ile". It matches the Rfam family "tRNA". From Rfam's summary of the family: Transfer RNA (tRNA) molecules are approximately 80 nucleotides in length. Their secondary structure includes four short double-helical elements and three loops (D, anti-codon, and T loops). Further hydrogen bonds mediate the characteristic L-shaped molecular structure. tRNAs have two regions of fundamental functional importance: the anti-codon, which is responsible for specific mRNA codon recognition, and the 3' end, to which the tRNAs corresponding amino acid is attached (by aminoacyl-tRNA synthetases). tRNAs cope with the degeneracy of the genetic code in two manners: having more than one tRNA (with a specific anti-codon) for a particular amino acid; and 'wobble' base-pairing, i.e. permitting non-standard base-pairing at the 3rd anti-codon position. RNAcentral also lists the same sequence under 4 other names. Lineage: Bacteria; Pseudomonadati; Gemmatimonadota; Gemmatimonadia; Gemmatimonadales; Gemmatimonadaceae. The record is from RNAcentral.
GGGCCUGUAGCUCAGUUGGUUAGAGCGCACGCCUGAUAAGCGUGAGGUCGGAAGUUCAACUCUUCCCAGGCCCA